AAAGUCGUAACAAGGUUUCCGUAGGUGAACCUGCGGAAGGAUCAUUACAGUGCCGUGGGGACGCCGCGCCCAACAGCGUGGGCGCCCUACACCUGGCCACCCGUGUCUACCUUUACCUUUGUUGCUUCGGCGGGCCUGACCCCUCGGGGUCUGCCAGGAGGGGGUUAGCGUACCCACGCGCCCCCGAACGGCGAGCGCCCGCCGAGGGACCUCUUGAACUCUUGUGAAUCAGUGUCGUCUGAGCGAUUGACAAAUCGUUAAAACUUUCAACAAUGGAUCUCUUGGUUCUG
This 290-nucleotide unclassified non-coding RNA is filed under the name Ascomycota sp. RNAcentral describes it as "partial contains small subunit ribosomal RNA, internal transcribed spacer 1, and 5.8S ribosomal RNA". The stretch from base 1 to 47 matches the Rfam family "Eukaryotic small subunit ribosomal RNA", at positions 1785 to 1831 of the family's 1831-position model. The record is from RNAcentral. Lineage: Eukaryota; Fungi; Ascomycota.